RNAcentral lists this ribosomal RNA (468 nucleotides) under uncultured bacterium. RNAcentral's name for it is "partial 16S ribosomal RNA". It matches the Rfam family "Bacterial small subunit ribosomal RNA", at positions 28 to 507 of the family's 1533-position model. The record is from RNAcentral.
GACGAACGCUGGCGGCGUGCUUAACACAUGCAAGUCGAACGGAAAGGCCCUGCUCUUGUGGUGUGCUCGUGUGGCGAACGGGUGUGUAACACGAGUGUAACCUGCCCUUGACUUUGGUAUAACUUCAGGAAACUGGGGCUAAUACCGGAUAGGAGCCCCUGCUGCAGGGUGGGGGUGGGAAAGUUUCGGCGGUUGGGGAUGGACUCGCGGGUUAUCAGUUUGUUGGUGGGGUAGUGGCUUACCAAGGCUUUGACGGGUCGCCGGCCUGAGAGGGUGACGGGCCACAUUGGGACUGAGGAAGGGCCAAGACUCUAAGGGGAGGAAGCGGGGGGAAUUAUGGCACAAUGGGCGGAGGCCUGAGGAAGCAACGCCGGGUGCGGAAUGACGGCCUUGGGGUUGAAAACCGCUUUCGCCUGUGACGAGGCGUGUGUGACGGUAAUGGGUAAAGAAGCACCGGCUAACUACGUG